This 372-nucleotide ribosomal RNA is filed under the name Triticum aestivum (bread wheat). RNAcentral's name for it is "partial small subunit ribosomal RNA". Lineage: Eukaryota; Viridiplantae; Streptophyta; Magnoliopsida; Poales; Poaceae. The record is from RNAcentral.
CGCCAUGGUGGGGGCGAGGGAGUUAUGCUUUGCUUGUACGUUGAUGACAUACUGAUUUUCGGAACAAAUCUGAAUGUUAUUAAGGAGGUCAAGGAUUUCCUAUCUCACUGUUUUGAGAUGAAGGAUUUAGGAGUGGCUGAUGUCAUUCUGAACAUCAAGUUGUUGAGAGAUGAUGAUGGUGGGAUUACAUUGCUUCAAUCCCACUAUGUGGAAAAGAUCUUGAGUCGCUUUGGCUACAGUGACUGCAAGCCAUCUCCAACACCAUAUGAUGCUAGUGUGUUGCUUCGAAAGAAUCGGAGAAUUGCUAGAGACCAAUUGAAAUAUUCUCAGAUCAUUGGCUCACUUAUGUACUUAGCUAGUGCUACAAGACCU